AGGGCACCCGCUAUAAAGCGUGUAAUUCCAGACAGGUCAAAGACCCUGAAAUCAGCGCAUGUCAAAGUAGUUUGUGGAGUUUCUUACACAAAAGUGUGUGUGCAACAUGUGCAUUAAAGAAAAGAACUGAACAAUGUUCACUUGAUUUACCUGACAACAGUUGCCUUCAAUUUUCAAAAUAUGCCAGUGUCUCAGAGAUCUCAGCACAAAGCACUUUAACAGCAAAUAUGACAAAUGAUUGAAUACUGUUUCUAUAUGCAUAUUUCAGGUCUUUGUGUUUUCUUAAUAACUGCUUACUCUGAACACCCUCACUUUUUCUUUUCCCUCAUGAGACAGGCUGUAGUUUCUGCACAACUGUGGUAGGCUCCAAUAUCCAUCAAUUAGAGUUGGAUAUGUAUGCUUGGAAUUUAAGGAACUCUGAGUGCAAGGAUACCAAAACUGAAAAUUGUCUAUAAUGUUCCAUAGGAAAAAAAGUAUCCUUAUUAAUCACAAAUGUGUUGAAUAAAUAAUUUCAGUUUAGCAUUAUAUUGAGGAGACAAUAGAUGCAUAGAUCUAUUUGGAUAGUUAGAAAUCUAUGGCAAUUACUUGCAAAUUUCUCAAAAUAUGACAAUAAAACACUACCUUGCUCA
Pantherophis guttatus is the source of this 629-nucleotide long non-coding RNA. RefSeq lists it as uncharacterized. NCBI's taxonomy places the organism in Eukaryota, Metazoa, Chordata, Lepidosauria, Squamata, Colubridae. The record is from RefSeq and is a predicted model, not a curated record.